This 515-nucleotide ribosomal RNA is filed under the name uncultured bacterium. RNAcentral's name for it is "partial 16S ribosomal RNA". It matches the Rfam family "Bacterial small subunit ribosomal RNA", at positions 28 to 523 of the family's 1533-position model. The record is from RNAcentral.
GAUGAACGCUGGCGGCGUGCCUAAUACAUGCAAGUCGAGCGAAUGGAUUAAGAGCUUGCUCUUAUGAAGUUAGCGGCGGACGGGUGAGUAACACGUGGGUAACCUGCCCAUAAGACUGGGAUAACUCCGGGAAACCGGGGCUAAUACCGGAUAACAUUUUGAACCGCAUGGUUCGAAAUUGAAAGGCGGCUUCGGCUGUCACUUAUGGAUGGACCCGCGUCGCAUUAGCUAGUUGGUGAGGUAACGGCUCACCAAGGCAACGAUGCGUAGCCGACCUGAGAGGGUGAUCGGCCACUCUGGGACUGAGACACGGCCCAGACUCCUACGGGAGGCAGCAGUAGGGAAUCUUCCGCAAUGAACGAAAGUCUGACGGAGCAACGCCGCGUGAGUGAUGAAGGCUUUCGGGUCGUAAAACUCUGUUGUUAGGGAAGAACAAGUGCUAGUUGAAUAAGCUGGCACCUUGACGGUACCUAACCAGAAAGCCACGGCUAACUACGUGCCAGCCGCCGCCGUAA